GAUUGGAAGAAUUAGACUCACCUCCCUGAUUCUACAUAGAUCAGAGAAAUACAUUUCAACAGUUCUGGAAAGAUGUCAAGAAAGCAGAUUUUAGCUUAACAAAAGGAAAAACUAACUGGAGAAGCCCUUGAUGACCAUGGAGUUUCAGGUAAAUUCCUGCUUUGUCCUUGGGCAAUUAGCUGAGGCUUGAUGGCUGCAGACAGACUUUAUACUCUUGCUUC
Molecule: long non-coding RNA, 221 nt
Filed under: Monodelphis domestica (gray short-tailed opossum)
Lineage: Eukaryota; Metazoa; Chordata; Mammalia; Didelphimorphia; Didelphidae
Description: lncRNA (ENSMODG00000037953.1)
Source: RNAcentral